GCUGGCGGCAUGCCUAACACAUGCAAGUCGAACGAACCCUUCGGGGUUAGUGGCGCACGGGUGCGUAACGCGUGGGAACCUGCCUUUAGGUUCGGAAUAACAGUUAGAAAUGACUGCUAAUACCGGAUAAUGUCUUCGGACCAAAGAUUUAUUGCCUUUAGAUGGGCCCGCGUUGGAUUAGAUAGUUGGUGGGGUAAUGGCCUACCAAGUCGACGAUCCAUAGCUGGUCUGAGAGGAUGAUCAGCCACACUGGGACUGAGACACGGCCCAGACUCCUACGGGAGGCAGCAGUGGGGAAUAUUGGACAAUGGGCGAAAGCCUGAUCCAGCAAUGCCGCGUGAGUGAUGAAGGCCUUAGGGUUGUAAAGCUCUUUUACCAGGGAUGAUAAUGACAGUACCUGGAGAAUAAGCUCCGGCUAACUCC
This 423-nucleotide ribosomal RNA is filed under the name Agrobacterium sp. W220. RNAcentral describes it as "bacterial SSU rRNA". It matches the Rfam family "Bacterial small subunit ribosomal RNA", at positions 35 to 504 of the family's 1533-position model. The record is from RNAcentral. Lineage: Bacteria; Pseudomonadati; Pseudomonadota; Alphaproteobacteria; Hyphomicrobiales; Rhizobiaceae.